This 573-nucleotide ribosomal RNA is filed under the name Stolothrissa tanganicae. Its description in RNAcentral is "partial 16S ribosomal RNA". It matches the Rfam family "Bacterial large subunit ribosomal RNA", at positions 1817 to 2597 of the family's 2925-position model. The record is from RNAcentral. Lineage: Eukaryota; Metazoa; Chordata; Actinopteri; Clupeiformes; Clupeidae.
CGCCUCCUGAACCUGACCAUAUAGGAGGUCCCGCCUGCCCUGUGACCAAAAGUUUAACGGCCGCGGUAUUUUAACCGUGCAAAGGUAGCGCAAUCAAUUGUCUUUUAAAUGGAGACCUGUAUGAAUGGCAUAACGAGGGUUUAACUGUCUCUUUUUUCCAGUCAAUGAAAUUGAUCUGCCCGUGCAGAAGCGGACAUAUUUACACAAGACGAGAAGACCCUAUGGAGCUUUAGACGCCCACCAACUAUGAAAAGUAACCAUAUCAACGGAACUCCAAACAACAUACCCCUGGUACAAACGUCUUCGGUUGGGGCGACCACGGGGGAAAACAAAGCCCCCGAGAGGAUAGGGGAACACCCUAAAACCAAGAACUACAAUUCUAAGCCACAAAAUGUUUGACCAAUUAAUGAUCCGGCUUACGCCGAUCAACGGACCAAGUUACCCUAGGGAUAACAGCGCAAUCCCCUCCCAGAGUCCAUAUCGACGAGAGGGUUUACGACCUCGAUGUUGGAUCAGGACAUCCUAAUGGUGCAGCCGCUAUUAAGGGUUCGUUUGUUCAACGAUUAAAGUCCU